Non-coding RNA from Xyrichtys novacula (pearly razorfish), 350 nucleotides. NCBI's taxonomy places the organism in Eukaryota, Metazoa, Chordata, Actinopteri, Labriformes, Labridae. The record is from the annotation of a GenBank genome assembly.
GGGAGAGAGGGAGAGAGAGAGAGGGAGAGAUGAGGGAGAAAAGGAGACAGACAGGAAGAUAAAGAGAGAGAGAGAGAGGCUUUAAGACCAGUAGUUAUGAUGGGCUGUUAGGCAGUGUAAUGAAACAGCUGUCAGACAUAUUUAACUUUCUCUCUCUCUCUCUCUCUCAUCAUCUGUCUCCUCUCCUUUAACUCGCCCUCUGCCUUUAUCUCACCUCGCUCUUUCUUCCCCUCUUUCUUGUCUUUAACUCAAACACUCCUUUCCCCUAUUUCAUCACACCAACCACUUUUCUCUCUUUUUCAUCUCCUCUCUUACGCCUCCUCUAGAGUCUCUCUGUCCAUCCUUCUCCC